This 83-nucleotide transfer RNA is filed under the name Canis lupus familiaris (dog). It matches the Rfam family "tRNA". Rfam says of the family: Transfer RNA (tRNA) molecules are approximately 80 nucleotides in length. Their secondary structure includes four short double-helical elements and three loops (D, anti-codon, and T loops). Lineage: Eukaryota; Metazoa; Chordata; Mammalia; Carnivora; Canidae. The record is from Rfam by way of RNAcentral. RNAcentral also lists the same sequence under 1 other name.
GCCUGAGUGGCUCAGUGGUUGAGUGUCUGCCUUUGGCUCAGGUCAUGAUCCCAGGAUCCUGGGAUCGAGUCCCACCUCAGGUU